Molecule: long non-coding RNA, 496 nt
Organism: Pomacea canaliculata
Lineage: Eukaryota; Metazoa; Mollusca; Gastropoda; Architaenioglossa; Ampullariidae
Exons: 3
Source: RefSeq, a predicted model, not a curated record
CCAGUGACGUCAUUUGAGUGCCCUGUUUUACUUUAUGACGUAAUCCUGUUUCAGAUUACGUCACGAUGAAGUUCGCGGUAUUGCUCCUCGCUUUAUGUGUAGCCGCGAUGGCUCAACGUGAAACCAGCCACCUAUUUCAGUAACUGUUGACGAGCUGAUCUGGCUGGAGGUGGGUAACAUCAUCCGAGCAGACCCUCGCCUCACUGUGUCCGAAUGCAAGAGCAGCUGUGAUGCCCACUUUGCCCUCAGCGACCUUCUGGAUGAGUCCAUAACCGACCGCCUCUGCCUUCAGGAGUGCGAGCUGGCUGUAUCCGGUCACCAGGACCACUAUAGGCCCCCAGGACAACGUGGAGACAGGGAUCGUGACUAAACAGAUCGACUUUUGGCAACCUUAUACAAUGAUGUGGUUAAUAACGUAUUUGAUAGGAAACUAUCAAUCGUAUAUCAAAAAUAGACAAAGAUAUAGAAUGAAAAUAAAACAGUGUUGUCACUGUUU